GAUGAACGCUAGCGGCAGGCCUAAUACAUGCAAGUCGGACGGGAUAGGAGAGCUUGCUUUCCUUGAGAGUGGCGCACGGGUGCGUAACACGUAUGUAACCUACCCUUGUCAGGGGGAUAGCCUCUCGAAAGAGAGAUUAAGCCCGCAUAACAUCACACCACGGCAUCAUGGAGUGAUCAAAUAUUUAUAGGACAAGGAUGGGC
RNAcentral lists this ribosomal RNA (203 nucleotides) under uncultured bacterium. RNAcentral describes it as "partial 16S ribosomal RNA". It matches the Rfam family "Bacterial small subunit ribosomal RNA", at positions 28 to 230 of the family's 1533-position model. The record is from RNAcentral.